Molecule: ribosomal RNA, 271 nt
Filed under: uncultured cercomonad
Lineage: Eukaryota; Cercozoa; Cercomonadida; Cercomonadidae
Description: partial 18S ribosomal RNA
Rfam family: Eukaryotic small subunit ribosomal RNA (bases 85-271)
Source: RNAcentral
GACUUCUGGUUUAAUGCACCUGGCCCGCGGCCCACUGAGUGCCGCAUCCUUCCAGCAACGGCUACCCCCCUUAACUGGGCGGCUGGAACUGGAUCUUUUACUUUGAAAAAAUUAGAGUGUUUAAGCAGGCGUUUGUCUGAAUACAUUAGCAUGGAAUUCUCCUCUCGGACUUCGGUUCUAUUUUGUUGGUUUAUUGCUAGGGAUAGUUGGGGGUGCUAGUAUUGGUCAGAGGUGAAAUUCUUGGAUUCGGUCAAGACUAACUUUGCGCAUU